Heterocephalus glaber (naked mole-rat) is the source of this 1053-nucleotide non-coding RNA. Lineage: Eukaryota; Metazoa; Chordata; Mammalia; Rodentia; Bathyergidae. The record is from RefSeq and is a predicted model, not a curated record.
GACGGGACCCAAGUCCUGGACACAGGGAACAGUAUUCGGAACUCAUUUAGUAGCUGAGACUCCAGGGAAGUCUGGUCAUGGGGUUUCUCCUUUUCCCUCUGAGUCAAGGUCAACUCACACCCAGGACUUGGAAGAAUCCUUGACACGUUGGAUGUGAUCUUGCAACUGAAGCAAGGAAAAUACACUCUGGAAAAGGGUCAUCAUCGCGCAGACUUGGGACACAGCAGGCACUGGGGGAGACGCAGCACACUCACCCCAGGGUUGGUGGCACAGACCCGUGUGUACCAGAAGGCAGAAGCACGGGCGGCCACCAGGAGCUCCAGCACCAUGAGGCUGAGCAUCGCCAGGAGCACGCCCUGCGGUGGGGACAGGGAGGUUCAGACCCAAACUGGCAGCCUGCGCCAGACCCGGACAAGGCCAGCUGAAGCCUCCAUCAGCAGAGACGGCGGAACAGUGGGAUCUGCCUGGCCCUCGCCUCUGCUUCCCCUUCCACCCUUCUCUGCAGAGGGAGGGACAGGAUACUUAGCCCCAAACUGUUUACUGUUGGACUGAAGUCAGGCAGGACACAAUCCUCCAGUUCAUAGAUUGAGUAGCAGUACUCUGAAUAAGGCAAUGAAGAGAGAUACGCCCAUCCCAUUCUGAACUACCAGACGGAGUGGCAGGCCCCAAGGCCGCCAGGCUGCACGUGAGGAGGAAGAUGCCCGGCCCAGCACAGCAGAACUCACUGCAUUUGAGGUCAGGCUGCUCCUGGCCGGGAAGAGAAAUCCCGCUUUAGACUCCUGAUGGCUGUGUCCAGAUGUCCCCCAAAGCCUCAAGCAGUCUUGGUUGGGGCUUUUUCAGAGGUGGCUGAAUCCAGAGUAUGUGACUGCUUCAUGGUGUGGUGCUGGGUUACGGGUGUGAUCACUAACUCAGUCCCCUGAUUUGUUUGGCACUGCCCUAACCUGGUAGCCUGGAUACAACAUAAGGGGCAGAAAGAGGCUUGCAGGUCCUUUGCUCCUUGCUUGUUGCUUUUGCUGUCUUCUGCUUGCCAUGAACUGGUUUUCCACCCUGCCU